Molecule: long non-coding RNA, 337 nt
Filed under: Bos taurus (domestic cattle)
Lineage: Eukaryota; Metazoa; Chordata; Mammalia; Artiodactyla; Bovidae
Description: long non-coding RNA NONBTAT014073
Source: RNAcentral
CAGGUCAGAAGAGUAACUGAAAAUACAUCUACACUAAAGCUUUUAUAAGACACUAGGUUGUAUCAAUGUGGUAUAAAGUUUGGGGACUAAAGUUUAGAAGUAAACUAACAGUGUGAUAAAACCAGUCAGCCAUUCUGAGAGAGCAGCCACCAAGCAAGUCAUAGGAAACGCCACAUCACCAAACUAAAACACCCAUCACUCCACUGGUCAAACGGAAAGUUAUACACAGUCCUUAAGGAGAACAAGCGGAUACCCAAGAACACAGACUUAGAGUCCUGUCUUACACUUUAGUGCCCUUUGCAAAAUAUGUUCAUGUCUCACUUUAUCCAUUCAAAGG